This 240-nucleotide unclassified non-coding RNA is filed under the name Hevea brasiliensis (rubber tree). Lineage: Eukaryota; Viridiplantae; Streptophyta; Magnoliopsida; Malpighiales; Euphorbiaceae. The record is from RNAcentral.
GUGUGUGUGUGUGUGUGUGUGUGUGUAUAAUUCAUUUUUAUGUAAGUAUUACGAUUGGUACCCCCUAAACAAUACGAUCUGAAGUAGAUGGGAAUCUCAAAUUUCUUUAAUCUAUAGAACACAAGGUUAGUUUACUCUUUCUGUGGCAUUGUAGGCUAAUCUUGCUUAUUGUGUCCACUUUAUUAUUGUUAUUAUUAAGCUAAUGUAAGUCUCUAUUAAAUUUGUGUCAUUGUGUGCUUG